This 497-nucleotide ribosomal RNA is filed under the name uncultured bacterium. Its description in RNAcentral is "partial 16S ribosomal RNA". It matches the Rfam family "Bacterial small subunit ribosomal RNA", at positions 28 to 507 of the family's 1533-position model. The record is from RNAcentral.
GUUGAACGCUGGCGGCGGGCCUAAUACAUGCAAGUCGAGCGGUCAGACGAGACGCUUUCUUCUUUGACGUUAGCGGCGCACGGGUGAGUGACAUGUGUAUAACCUACCUAUAAGACUGGGAUUACUUCGUGAAACCGGUGCUAAUACCGGCUUAUAUAUUGAACCGCAUGGUUGAAGAGUUAAGGACGGUUUUGCUGUCACUUAUACAUGGAUCCGCGCGGCAUUAGCUAGUUGGUAAGGUAACGGCUUACCAAGGCAACGAUGCGUAGCCGACCUGAGAGGGUGAUCGGCCACACUGGAACUGAGACACGGUCCAGACUCCUACGGGAGGCAGCAGUAGGGAAUAUUCCGCAAUGGGCGCAAGCCUGAUGGAGCCACGCCGCGUGAGUGAUGAAGGUCUUCGGGUCGUAAAGCUCUUUUAUUGGGGAUGAACAAAUGUGUAAGUAUCCCUGCGCGCAUUGACGGUACCCGCAGAGAAAGCACCGGCUAACUCCGUG